This 468-nucleotide ribosomal RNA is filed under the name uncultured bacterium. Its description in RNAcentral is "partial 16S ribosomal RNA". It matches the Rfam family "Bacterial small subunit ribosomal RNA", at positions 28 to 507 of the family's 1533-position model. The record is from RNAcentral.
GACGAACGCUGGCGGCGUGCUUAACACAUGCAAGUCGAACGGAAAGGCCCUGCUUUUGUGGGGUGCUCGAGUGGCGAACGGGUGAGUAACACGUGAGUAACCUGCCCUUGACUUUGGGAUAACUUCAGGAAACUGGGGCUAAUACCGGAUAGGAGCUCCUGCUGCAUGGUGGGGGUUGGAAAGUUUCGGCGGUUGGGGAUGGACUCGCGGCUUAUCAACUUGUUGGUGGGGUAGUGGCUUACCAAGGCUUUGACGGGUAGCCGGCCUGAGAGGGUGACCGGCCACAUUGGGACUGAGAUACGGCCCAGACUCCUACGGGAGGCAGCAGUGGGGAAUAUUGCACAAUGGGCGGAAGCCUGAUGCAGCAACGCCGCGUGCGGGAUGACGGCCUUCGGGUUGUAGACCGCUUUCGCCUGUGACGAAGCGUGAGUGACGGUAAUGGGUAAAGAAGCACCGGCUAACUACGUG